UACGAAGGGGACUAGCGUUGUUCGGAUUUACUGGGCGUAAAGCGCGCGUAGGCGGAUCGCUAAGUCAGGGGGGAAAUCCCAGGGCUCAACCCUGGAACUGCCUUUGAUACUGACGAUCUGGAGAUCGGGAGAGGUUGGUGGAAUUCCGAGUGUAGAGGUGAAAUUCGUAGAUAUUCGGAGGAACACCAGAAGCGAAGGCGGCCAACUGGCCCGAUACUGACGCUGAGGCGCGAAAGCGUGGGGAGCAAACAGG
RNAcentral lists this ribosomal RNA (253 nucleotides) under uncultured bacterium. Its description in RNAcentral is "partial 16S ribosomal RNA". It matches the Rfam family "Bacterial small subunit ribosomal RNA", at positions 524 to 776 of the family's 1533-position model. The record is from RNAcentral.